This 745-nucleotide long non-coding RNA is filed under the name Solanum tuberosum (potato). RNAcentral describes it as "long non-coding RNA (STUB_LNC000859)". The record is from RNAcentral. Lineage: Eukaryota; Viridiplantae; Streptophyta; Magnoliopsida; Solanales; Solanaceae.
UUGGAAAGGAGUUCUCCAGAAUCUGCAGUCAAUUUCAUGGAGGAAUCUAAAGGUGUGGAAGCAAAUUUUGUCCCAAUUUCUGGAUGUUCAGCAAUGAGGUCCAGGGCAAAUUUCCUUUGAGUAACAAGUACUCCAUCAGGUACAUGUAGGAAUUCCAUACCUAAGAAGUAAUUAGCAAUCCCCAAAUCCUUAAUUUUGAAUUCUGUGUUGAGAAACAAUUUCAACUCAUCAAUUUCCCUUUGAUUGUUACCCGUCAACAGGAUGUCAUCGACGUAAACAACCAGUAUAGUGACAAGGGUACCUGAAGACUUAGAAAAAAGUGAGUAAUCAUUCAAUGAUGCAACAUAACCUCGUGUACCCAAAGCUGCUGAUAGACGUGCAUACCAUUGGCGCGAGGCCUGCUUAAGUCCAUAAAGAGACUUACGCAGCCUGCAAACAUGCGAGGGAGAUGAAGAAGGCAUGCCCGGAGGAAACCGCAUGUAGACCUCCUCAUUGAGGUCCCCAUGAAGGAAAGCGUUGUUUACAUCAAGCUGAAAAAGAGUCCAAUUGCGUUUAACCGCUAUGCUAAGAAGGCAGCGAAUGGUUGUCAUUUUUACCACAGGUGAGUAGGUUUCAUUGUAGUCGAUCCCUUCUCGUUGUAUGUCUCCACGUACAGCCAAUCGUGCCUUUAAACGUUCCAAACUCCCAUCUGACUUAAGUUUCAUUUUGAACACCCACUUGCAGGGUAAUGACUUCAUUCCAGGUG